RNAcentral lists this ribosomal RNA (180 nucleotides) under uncultured Glomeromycotina. Its description in RNAcentral is "partial small subunit ribosomal RNA". The record is from RNAcentral. Lineage: Eukaryota; Fungi; Glomeromycota.
GGAUCAGUAGGUUGGUCGUGCCACUGGUAUGUACUGGCCUUACUGGUUCCUCCUUCUUGUAGAACCGUAAUGCCAUUAAGUUGGUGUUGCGGGGAAACAGGACUGUUACUUUGAAAAAAUUAGAGUGUUUAAAGCAGGCUUUCAAGCUUGAACAUAUUAGCAUGGAAUAAUGAAAUAGGA